RNAcentral lists this ribosomal RNA (1443 nucleotides) under metagenome. RNAcentral's name for it is "bacterial SSU rRNA". It matches the Rfam family "Bacterial small subunit ribosomal RNA". The record is from RNAcentral.
AGAGUUUGAUCCUGGCUCAGGAUGAACGCUGGCGGCGUGCUUAACACAUGCAAGUCGAACGAUCCUUCGGGAUAGUGGCGGACGGGUGAGUAACGCGUGGGAAUCUGCCCUCAGGAGGGGGAUAACGGCUGGAAACGGCCGCUAAUACCCCAUAUGCCGAGAGGUGAAAUGAAUUUCGCCUGAGGAUGAGCCCGCGUCUGAUUAGCUAGUUGGUGGGGUAAAGGCCUACCAAGGCGACGAUCAGUAGCUGGUCUGAGAGGAUGAUCAGCCACACUGGGACUGAGACACGGCCCAGACUCCUACGGGAGGCAGCAGUGGGGAAUUUUCCGCAAUGGGCGAAAGCCUGACGCAGCAACGCCGCGUGAGGGAUGAAGGCCUCUGGGCUGUAAACCUCUUUUCUCAAGGAAGAAGAACUGACGGUACUUGAGGAAUAAGCCACGGCUAAUUCCGUGCCAGCAGCCGCGGUAAUACGGGAGUGGCAAGCGUUAUCCGGAAUUAUUGGGCGUAAAGCGUCCGCAGGCGGCCUUGUAAGUCUGUUGUUAAAGCGUGGAGCUCAACUCCAUUUAAGCAAUGGAAACUACAAGGCUGGAGUGUGGUAGGGGCAGAGGGAAUUCCCGGUGUAGCGGUGAAAUGCGUAGAUAUCGGGAAGAACACCAGUGGCGAAGGCGCUCUGCUGGGCCAUAACUGACGCUCAUGGACGAAAGCCAGGGGAGCGAAAGGGAUUAGAUACCCCUGUAGUCCUGGCCGUAAACGAUGAACACUAGGUGUCGGGGGAAUCGACCCCCUCGGUGUCGUAGCCAACGCGUUAAGUGUUCCGCCUGGGGAGUACGCACGCAAGUGUGAAACUCAAAGGAAUUGACGGGGGCCCGCACAAGCGGUGGAGUAUGUGGUUUAAUUCGAUGCAACGCGAAGAACCUUACCAGGGUUUGACAUCCUGCGAAUCCCUUGGAAACGAGGGAGUGCCUUCGGGAGCGCAGUGACAGGUGGUGCAUGGCUGUCGUCAGCUCGUGUCGUGAGAUGUUGGGUUAAGUCCCGCAACGAGCGCAACCCACGUCUUUAGUUGCCAGCAUUCAGUUGGGCACUCUAGAGAGACCGCCGGUGAUAAACCGGAGGAAGGUGUGGAUGACGUCAAGUCAUCAUGCCCCUUACAUCCUGGGCUACACACGUACUACAAUGCUACGGACAAAGGGCAGCAAGCUCGCGAGAGUUAGCAAAUCCCAUAAACCGUGGCUCAGUUCAGAUCGUAGGCUGCAACUCGCCUACGUGAAGGAGGAAUCGCUAGUAAUCGCAGGUCAGCAUACUGCGGUGAAUACGUUCCCGGGCCUUGUACACACCGCCCGUCACACCAUGGAAGUUGGCCAUGCCCGAAGUCGUUACUCCAACCCUUGUGGAGGAGGACGCCGAAGGUGGGGCUGAUGACUGGGGUGAAGUCGUAACAAGGUA